UUCCGGUUGAUCCUGCCGGAGGACACUGCUAUCAGAGUACGCCUAAGCCAUGCAAAUCUGCCCACCGACUUCGGUGGACGGUGUACGGCUCAGUAACAAGUAGUCAAUCUGCCCUUCGGACUGGCAUACCCUCGGGAAACUGAGGUUAAUUCCGGAUGGCCCAUCUCUGCUGGAAUGCUUGAUGGGCAAAACGCGCGGCGAAUCGGAGCCGUUGUGCCGAAGGAUGAGACUGCUCCUGAUUAGGUAGUUGGUGAGGUAACGGCUCACCAAGCCGAUAAUCAGUAGGGGCAAUGGGAGUUGGAGCCCCGAGAAGGGCACUGAGACAAGGGCCCUAGUCCUACGGGAUGCAGCAGGCGCGAAACCUUUACAAUGCGCGAAAGCGUGAUAGGGGAACUCUGAGUGCAAGCCGGCUUUUGCCGACUUGCUUUUGGCGAACUUAAAACGUUCGCAGAAUAAGUUCUGGGUAAGACCAGUGCCAGCCGCCCAUUGCUUUGCACAAAGCGCACGGUACGCGGUAAUACUGGCAGAACAAAGUGGUGCCCACGAAUAUUGGGUCUAAAGAGACCGUAGCUGGCCUGUUAAGUCCACUGUGAAAUCUUGGGGCUCAACCUCAAGGCGUGCAGUAGAUACUGGCAGGCUCGAGAGCGGGGGAGGUCAGGGGUACUUACGGGGUAAGAGUAAAAUCUGUUGAUCCUGUAAGGACCACCAGUGGCGAAGGCGCCUGACCAAAACGCGUCUGACAGUGAGGGUCGAAGGCUAGGAGAACGAAUCGGAUUAGAUACCCGAGUAGCCCUAGCAGUAAAUCAUGCAGACUGUGGUGUUGCCGCGGCUUCGGGCCACGGCAGUGCUGUAGCGUAGGUGUUAAGUCUGCCACCUGGGGAGUACGGCCGCAAGGUUGAAACUUAAAGGAAUUGGCGGG
This 919-nucleotide ribosomal RNA is filed under the name uncultured euryarchaeote VAL35-1. RNAcentral's name for it is "bacterial SSU rRNA". It matches the Rfam family "Archaeal small subunit ribosomal RNA", at positions 1 to 872 of the family's 1478-position model. The record is from RNAcentral. Lineage: Archaea; Methanobacteriati; Methanobacteriota.